AAAUACACAAGUGGAAAAUUACUAAUUACCCUACGUCAUUCAGCGCGUAUAAGAGAGAGCAGGGCUAGAAAAAUUUUAGACAUCAUGUAGAUUCUUUAAAGUCAGACACCGCCCGAGUCCUUUAGACUACCAUAUGAUGUAGUGCUUUCCGGAGUCUAGCCAUGCUGGUUAGACUUUUAUAUGAAUGGGGUUGAGAGAAAGACAUGUUAAUUUAAAGUAUUGUAAUGUAGACUAUUGUUUAACUGUUGUGACAUAAUCAUGCAUAGAAAAAACUAUUGUUGUUCCUGUUACAUAUUUAAUUUCGGUUUCAUGAGAAAACACAAUGGUGAAGUCCUUAAGAGAGAUACAACAGUAGCAGUCCAGAGUCAAACCAACCUCUCGACGAUCAGGCCAAAACUAAAAGAUAUGUAGCCGGACACAUAGUGUUACAUAUUAUUCAAACGUUUUCAAAUGCUAAGUUAAAACAAACAGAAAGAAGUCAAUAUCCACAUCAGAUAAAAUACUUCUCUAUCUACCAAUGUCACAAUCCAAACAAACAUGAAAGAAAUCGUCCCCAAAAAAGUCCUGUGUGUUUUGGCAAGAAGUUGAAUAGUAUGACGUAAAUAUCGAAUUCAGAUGCUAAGAUAAGUGAGCUGGUGAGUUUGAGCAAUGAAGCUAAAUCCAAAUCAUAUAAUCCUUAUAGUAAAUUUAGAGUUGGUGCGGCUCUCUUAACAGUGGAUGGUAAAAUAUUUACAGGCUGUAAUGUAGA
This is a long non-coding RNA of Patella vulgata (common limpet), 748 nucleotides long. RefSeq lists it as uncharacterized. The transcript is spliced from 3 exons. The record is from RefSeq and is a predicted model, not a curated record. Lineage: Eukaryota; Metazoa; Mollusca; Gastropoda; Patellidae.